AGGACGGACGCUGGCGGCGUGCUUAACACAUGCAAGUCGAGCGGAAAGGCCCUUCGGGGUACUCGAGCGGCGAACGGGUGAGUAACACGUGAGUAAUCUGCCCCUAGCUCUGGGAUAGCUCCGGGAAACCGGGAUUAAUACCAGAUACGACCACUUUAGACAUCUGUUGUGGUGGAAAGAAUUUCGGCUAGGGAUGAGCUCGCGGCCUAUCAGCUUGUUGGUGAGGUAACGGCUCACCAAGGCGACGACGGGUA
Molecule: ribosomal RNA, 254 nt
Filed under: uncultured bacterium
Lineage: Bacteria
Description: partial small subunit ribosomal RNA
Rfam family: Bacterial small subunit ribosomal RNA
Source: RNAcentral